CACGCAAAACAACAGAUGGGAUUGGAGCUAAGAAAUGGAAGUGGACACUCAGAAUGUCUUCUGGGGCUUCCUACUGGUUCACUGGUGGGUGUCCUGAUCGUAGCCACAGCCCACCCUGCUAUCUGCUGUCCUCUCAUACUGUGGAAAAAAAGUGAAGGUCAGUUUUUCACACCAGAAGUUAGGAGAGAGAACGAUGAACUAAAGCAGCCUUCACGUCUGGUGUGUCAGAAGUCUCAGGUGUGAAAACAGAACACAAGAGGACAGCGCCAUGGGAUGGAAGUGGAAGAUGAAUGUCAGAGCUAUCACCCUGUAGUAACUGGUAUGAAACAAAUCGUUCUUCCCAUGCCACCCAGGCGCCCGCAGUGCAGCGCCGCUGCUGCCCUGGCUGCCGGCAGCGCUCGGCUGUGCCGUGCCGCACGCUAGCUGGGCUUUGCACUGCUGA
Molecule: long non-coding RNA, 442 nt
Organism: Pogoniulus pusillus (Red-fronted tinkerbird)
Lineage: Eukaryota; Metazoa; Chordata; Aves; Piciformes; Lybiidae
Exons: 3
Source: RefSeq, a predicted model, not a curated record